AGAAACUUAGGUUAACACCAAACCAAGAGCCUUCAAAGCCCAAAACAGAGGAUUUUUCCCCCUAGUUUCUG
This 71-nucleotide transfer RNA is filed under the name Bavayia periclitata. Its description in RNAcentral is "tRNA-Trp". It matches the Rfam family "tRNA". From Rfam's summary of the family: Transfer RNA (tRNA) molecules are approximately 80 nucleotides in length. Their secondary structure includes four short double-helical elements and three loops (D, anti-codon, and T loops). Lineage: Eukaryota; Metazoa; Chordata; Lepidosauria; Squamata; Diplodactylidae. The record is from RNAcentral.